RNAcentral lists this ribosomal RNA (426 nucleotides) under uncultured bacterium. RNAcentral describes it as "bacterial SSU rRNA". It matches the Rfam family "Bacterial small subunit ribosomal RNA", at positions 60 to 498 of the family's 1533-position model. The record is from RNAcentral.
AGCGACGCAUGCCUGGUUCGUAAGAACCGGGUAUGACGGAGCGGCGAACGGGUGAGUAACACGUGAGCAACCUGCCCCGAAGACCGGGAUAGCCCAGGGAAACCUGGAUUAAUACCGGAUACCCUCAGACACUCUCAUGGGCGACUGAGGAAAGGCUUUAGCGCUUCGGGAUGGGCUCGCGGCCUAUCAGCUUGUUGGUGGGGUAACGGCCUACCAAGGCAUCGACGGGUAGCUGGUCUGAGAGGACGAUCAGCCACACUGGGACUGAGACACGGCCCAGACUCCUACGGGAGGCAGCAGCAGGGAAUCUUGCGCAAUGGGCGAAAGCCUGACGCAGCAACGCCGCGUGGGGGAUGACGGCCUUCGGGUUGUAAACCCCUUUCAGGAGGGAAGAAAUUGACGGUACCUCCAGAAGAAGCCCCGGCC